This 85-nucleotide transfer RNA is filed under the name Anaerolinea sp. RNAcentral describes it as "tRNA-Leu". It matches the Rfam family "tRNA". Rfam says of the family: Transfer RNA (tRNA) molecules are approximately 80 nucleotides in length. The record is from RNAcentral. RNAcentral also lists the same sequence under 2 other names. Lineage: Bacteria; Bacillati; Chloroflexota; Anaerolineae; Anaerolineales; Anaerolineaceae.
GCCGAAGUGGCGGAACAGGCAGACGCGACGGUCUCAAACACCGUUGAGCAUAGCGCUCAUGUGGGUUCGAUUCCCACCUUCGGCA